UACGAAGGGGGCUAGCGUUGCUCGGAAUCACUGGGCGUAAAGCGCACGUAGGCGGAUUGUUAAGUCGGGGGUGAAAUCCUGGAGCUCAACUCCAGAACUGCCUUCGAUACUGGCGAUCUCGAGUCCGGGAGAGGUGAGUGGAACUCCGAGUGUAGAGGUGAAAUUCGUAGAUAUUCUGAAGAACACCAGUGGCGAAGGCGGCUCACUGGCCCGGUACUGACGCUGAGGUGCGAAAGCGUGGGGAGCAAACAGG
This 253-nucleotide ribosomal RNA is filed under the name uncultured bacterium. RNAcentral describes it as "partial 16S ribosomal RNA". It matches the Rfam family "Bacterial small subunit ribosomal RNA", at positions 524 to 776 of the family's 1533-position model. The record is from RNAcentral.